GCUCGAUUAAAAACUAUUUGAGUUCAGUUCUUUUGAUAAACAAAUUAAAUUCAAAUGUAUUUUUAAAAUUCGUUAAAUUUUUAAAUCAAUUUUGAACAAUUUACUGUUUUGUUUAUCAACCCUAUUUGCUACGAACGUAGAAUUUAUAGACGUAACUUCCCGUGGUCUAUAAUUUGUUCGGUUCAUUUAUUAGUCGCAGUUGCUGUUAAGUAGCCUUUAUAGACUUAACCUAUGAUCUAUGGACAAUAAUGCUAUUGAAUUAUUUUUUUUAGCUAUUGAAAUUA
RNAcentral lists this long non-coding RNA (284 nucleotides) under Actinidia chinensis (golden kiwifruit). RNAcentral's name for it is "long non-coding RNA (ACHI_LNC006698)". The record is from RNAcentral. Lineage: Eukaryota; Viridiplantae; Streptophyta; Magnoliopsida; Ericales; Actinidiaceae.